This 253-nucleotide ribosomal RNA is filed under the name uncultured bacterium. Its description in RNAcentral is "partial 16S ribosomal RNA". It matches the Rfam family "Bacterial small subunit ribosomal RNA", at positions 524 to 776 of the family's 1533-position model. The record is from RNAcentral.
GACAGAGGGUGCAAACGUUGUUCGGAAUUACUGGGCGUAAAGCGCGUGUAGGCGGCCAUCUAAGUCGGGCGUGAAAUCCCACGGCUCAACCGUGGAAGUGCACUCGAAACUGGAUGGCUAGAGUCCUGGAGAGGAAGGUGGAAUGCUUGGUGUAGAGGUGAAAUUCGUAGAUAUCAAGCGGAACACCGGUGGCGAAGGCGGCCUUCUGGACAGUUCCUGACGCUGAGGCGCGAAGGCCAGGGGAGCAAACGGG